Molecule: ribosomal RNA, 621 nt
Filed under: Zanclus cornutus (moorish idol)
Lineage: Eukaryota; Metazoa; Chordata; Actinopteri; Acanthuriformes; Zanclidae
Description: partial small subunit ribosomal RNA
Rfam family: Bacterial small subunit ribosomal RNA
Source: RNAcentral
UUGUUAGAUACCGGCGUAAAGAGUGGUUAAGAUAAAUUAUAGACUAAAGCCGAACGCCCUCAGAACUGUUAUACGUUUCCGAAGGUGAGAAGUCCGAUCACGAAAGUGGCUUUACAUUAACUGAACCCACGAAAGCUAGGGUACAAACUGGGAUUAGGUACCCCACUAUGCCUAGCCCUAAACAUCGGUAGCAUUCUACAGCUGCUACCCGCCUGGGUACUACGAGCAUCAGCUUAAAACCCAAAGGACUUGGCGGUGCUUUAGAUCCACCUAGAGGAGCCUGUUCUAGAACCGAUGCCCCCCGUUCAACCUCACCCUUUCUUGUUUUCCCCGCCUAUAUACCACCGUCGUCAGCUUACCCUGUGAAGGCCUCAUAGUAAGCAAGAUUGGCACAGCCCAAAACGUCAGGUCGAGGUGUAGCGCAUGGAAGGGGAAGAAAUGGGCUACAUUCCCUCCCCUCAGGGAAUUACGGACGAUGUACUGAAAUACAUAUCUGAAGGAGGAUUUAGCAGUAAGCAAAAAAUAGAGUGUUUUGCUGAAAUUGGCCCUGAAGCGCGCACACACCGCCCGUCACUCUCCCCAAGCUCACACCCUAAAGUAAAUAAAACCCUAUACCUGCAA